This is a long non-coding RNA of Medicago truncatula (barrel medic), 678 nucleotides long. RefSeq lists it as uncharacterized. The transcript is spliced from 2 exons. Lineage: Eukaryota; Viridiplantae; Streptophyta; Magnoliopsida; Fabales; Fabaceae. The record is from RefSeq and is a predicted model, not a curated record.
AACUUGCCUCACUCCUUCCAUAUAAUUUGUUGGGCGGUGUCAAAAACCUAAGUUAACAUGUCUUACCGUUAAUUUGAAACGUUGCUUGCACUACAUUGCUUGAAAGGUGAACGUACAAGGCGGUGAUUCUUGCAGCACGGUUAAUUUGGAAGAAACACCGGUUAGCAAAGUAGGAGCUAAGCGGCUGACUGACCGUAUUGAGUCCCUUGAUGCUCUUCGAGAUGAGAUUGGCGAUGCAUCUAUUACAAAGCCAGCCAAAAUGGUCCGUGUGAAGAUUGAGCCUAAAGAAAUGAGAUUGAUGCAUAAUGUGGAUCGUAAUUGCACCCGUAAUUAGUUGAAGUAUUGUUGCAGACUACUUUUAGUUUUUAAGCUGAACUAAGUGUUUUUACACAUGGCUAUAUUUUGACCCUUAGCGUUAUUGUUGUCGUGUAUUUCGUUGUUUAACAUUCUAUGCUGUUCGGACCAUGAUCUUUUUUAAUUAUUAUGUUUUCUUUUUUUCAUGAAUUGAAUACUCAGAAGUUAUGAAUGCACUAUAUAAUAUCAAGCGGAUAGAUAUAACUUAAACACCAUUACAAUCAAAUUUGAUCUAAACUAAUCGAUUGAGGAGGUGUAGAAGAAAACAAUUCACCAUGAUUUGUGUUGUCAGUUUUUGUAAAAGCUAAAGUAAAUUAUAGUAUG